RNAcentral lists this ribosomal RNA (2928 nucleotides) under Anseongella ginsenosidimutans. RNAcentral describes it as "23S ribosomal RNA". It matches the Rfam family "Bacterial large subunit ribosomal RNA". Lineage: Bacteria; Pseudomonadati; Bacteroidota; Sphingobacteriia; Sphingobacteriales; Sphingobacteriaceae. The record is from RNAcentral.
AUAAAGAAAGUAAGGAAGGGCGCAGGGUGGAUGCCUUGGCUCUCAGAGGCGAUGAAGGACGUGAUAAGCUGCGAAAAGCCGCGGGGAUCGGCACAUACGAAUUGAUCCGCGGAUAUCCGAAUGGGGCAACCUAUCUGGCUGAAGGCCAGAUGUCUGCAGGCCUUGAGCCUGUGGAAGCAAACCUGCUGAACUGAAACAUCUAAGUAGGCAGAGGAGGAGAAAACAAUAGUGAUUCCGUAAGUAGUGGCGAGCGAACGCGGAUUAGCCCAAACCAUGCGUGUUACGGCACGCACGGGGUUGUAGGACCUGCAUAAUUACUUCGGCAUGAACCUGAAAGGUCUGGGAAGGCCUGCCAUAGAGCGUGAGAGCCGUGUAAGGGUAAAUAAAGAAGUAAGGCGGGUAUCCUGAGUAGGACGGGGUAGGAGAAGCCCUGUUUGAACCGGCCGGCACCAUCCGGUAAGGCUAAAUACUCCUGAGAGACCGAUAGUGAACCAGUACCGUGAGGGAAAGGUGAAAAGCACCCCGCACAGGGGAGUGAAAUAGAACCUGAAACCCUGCGCUUACAAGCGGUCGGAGUCCCGCCGUUCUUCGGAACGGAAGGGGAUGACGGCGUGCCUUUUGCAUAAUGAGCCUACGAGUUGAUCUUCACUGGCAAGGUUAAGCCCCAGGAAGGGGCGCAGCCGAAGCGAAAGCGAGUCUGAACAGGGCGCAUAGUCAGUGGAGUCAGACGCGAAACCUUGUGAUCUACCCUUGAGCAGGAUGAAGUGGCCGUAACAGGUCAUGGAGGUCCGAACCAGUAUGCGUUGAAAAGCAUUUGGAUGACUUGAGGGUAGGGGUGAAAGGCCAAUCAAACUGGGAAAUAGCUCGUACUCCCCGAAAUGUUUUUAGGAACAGCGUGAUGGUAAAAUGACCCGGAGGUAGAGCUACUAAUUGGAUGCGGGGGAGUCACAUCCUACCAAAUCCAGCUAAACUCCGAAUGCCGGGUACAUGUACAUUGCAGUGAGGCCUGGGGUGCUAAGGUCCCGGGCCGAGAGGGAAAGAACCCAGACCAACAGCUAAGGUCCCCAAAUGUGCGCUAAGUUGAACUAACGAGGUCCGGUUGCAGAGACAGCUAGGAUGUUGGCUUGGAAGCAGCCAUUCAUUUAAAGAGUGCGUAACAGCUCACUAGUCGAGCGACCGGGCAUGGAUAAUAAACGGGCAUCAAGCGCGCUACCGAAGCUUUGGUUUCAGAAUUUAUUCUGAAAGGUAGGGGAGCAUUCCAAUCGCAGUGAAGGUAUUCCGUAAGGGAUGCUGGAGGGAUUGGAAAAGCAAAUGUAGGCAUAAGUAACGAUAAGGCGGGUGAGAAACCCGCCCACCGAAAGGAUAAGGUUUCCUGAUCAACGCUAAUCGGAUCAGGGUUAGUCGGGACCUAAGGAGUCCCCCGCGCCUAGCGGGGCCAUCCGAUGGAAAAUCGGUUAAUAUUCCGAUACGAUCAAUGGGUGCGACGAGGCGACGCAGGAGUGACACCGCCGCCGGCUGACGGAAUAGCCGGUUAAAGGGAGGUAGGUAUAGGCCGGGGAGGCAAAUCCCCCUGGUUUGCCGAGACCUGAUAGUACCACAAAGCUUCGGCUGCGUGGAUAGUGCGGGUAAUCAGACUGCCGAGAAAACCCUCUAAGCAUCAGCCCAUUGAUCCUCGUACCGCAAACCGACACAGGUAUCCGGGGAGAGAAUCCUAAGGUGCUCGAGUGAGUCGUGGCUAAGGAACUCGGCAAAAUGGCCCUGUAACUUCGGGAGAAGGGGCCCCCCGUAGCAAUACGGGGGCGCAGUGAAACGGCCCAGGCGACUGUUUAGCAAAAACACAUGGCUGUGCCAAAUCGUAAGAUGAGGUAUACGGCCUGACACCUGCCCGGUGCCGGAAGGUUAAGAGGGGAUGUUAGUCCAGUAAUGGGCGAAGCAUUGAAUCGAAGCCCCGGUAAACGGCGGCCGUAACUAUAACGGUCCUAAGGUAGCGAAAUUCCUUGUCGGGUAAGUUCCGACCUGCACGAAUGGUGUAACGAUCUGGGCACUGUCUCAGCCACGAGCUCGGUGAAAUUGAAGUAACGGUGAAGAUGCCGUUUACCCGCAACGGGACGGAAAGACCCCAUGAACCUUCACUACAACUUCGCAUUGAUAUCGGCUACAGGAUGUGUAGGAUAGGUGGGAGACUAUGAAGCGGGGUCGCAAGGCUCUGUGGAGUCACCCUUGAAAUACCACCCUUUCUGUAGCUGGUGUCUAACCCGUUAUACGGGGAGAGUGCGUGGUGGGUAGUUUGACUGGGGUGGUCGCCUCCAAAAAAGUAACGGAGGCUUUCAAAGGUUCCCUCAGCACGCUUGGUAACCGUGCGUGGAGUGCAAUAGCAAAAGGGAGCUUGACUGUGAGACCGACAAGUCGAACAGGGUCGAAAGACGGAUAUAGUGAUCCGGUGGUUCUGUAUGGAAGGGCCAUCGCUCAAAGGAUAAAAGGUACUCUGGGGAUAACAGGCUGAUCUCCCCCAAGAGCUCAUAUCGACGGGGAGGUUUGGCACCUCGAUGUCGGCUCGUCACAUCCUGGGGCUGGAGAAGGUCCCAAGGGUUGGGCUGUUCGCCCAUUAAAGUGGCACGCGAGCUGGGUUCAGAACGUCGCGAGACAGUUCGGUCCCUAUCUGUUGUGGGCGUAGGAAGCUUGAGUGGAGCUGACCUUAGUACGAGAGGACCGGGUUGGACUGGCCGCUGGUGUACCAGUUGUUCUGCCAAGGGCACGGCUGGGUAGCUACGCCGGGAAGAGAUAAGCGCUGAAAGCAUCUAAGUGCGAAACUCGCCACAAGAUGAGGCUUCCCUUGAGGGACGUCGAAGACGACGACGUAGAUAGGCUGCAGGUCUACAGGUGGUAACAUCAAAGCCGAGCAGUACUAAUUACCCGAUGGCUUUCUUU